AGAGUUUGAUCCUGGCUCAGGACGAACGCUGGCGGCAUGCCUAACACAUGCAAGUCGAACGGACAUUUUGCGGUUAUAGCGAUAUAACCAAGGGAUGUUAGUGGCGAACGGGUGAGUAACACGCGAGCAACCUGCCCCAUACUACGGGAUAACGCCUGGAAACGGGCGCUAAUACGGUAUAAGACCACACUAUGGAAUCAUAGAGGGGUAAAAGCGAAUUAGCGGUAUGGGAUGGGCUCACGGCCAAUUAGCUAGUUGGUGAGGUAGCGGCUCACCAAGGCGACGAUGCGUAGCUGUGCUGAGAGGCAAAACAGCCACACUGGGACUGAGACACGGCCCAGACUCCUACGGGAGGCAGCAGUAGGGAAUUUUCGGCAAUGGGGGAAACCCUGACCGAGCAAUGCCGCGUGAAUGAAGAAGGUCUUCGGACUGUAAAAUUCUGUUAUUUGUGGAAGAAAGGUAGUUGGAGGAAAUGCCAAUUACUUGACGGUACCAAAUGAGAAAGCCCCGGCUAACUAUGUGCCAGCAGCCGCGGUAAUACAUAGGGGGCGAGCGUUAUCCGGAAUUAUUGGGCGUAAAGCGUGCGUAGGUGGUCAGUUAAGUCUGGCGUGAAAUUCCCUGGCUUAACCAGGGGGGGUCGUUGGAAACUGGCUGACUUGAAUCCAGAAGGGGUAAGUGGAAUUCCAUGUGUAGCGGUAAAAUGCAUAGAGAUAUGGAGGAACACCAGUGGCGAAGGCGGCUUACUGGUCUGGGAUUGACACUGAGGCACGAAAGCGUGGGUAGCAAACAGGAUUAGAUACCCUGGUAGUCCACGCCGUAAACGAUGAGCACUAAGUGUCGGACGAAAGUUCGGUGCUGUAGUUAGCGCAUUAAGUGCUCCACCUGGGGAGUACGGUCGCAAGACUGAAACUCAAAGGAAUU
Molecule: ribosomal RNA, 921 nt
Filed under: uncultured bacterium
Lineage: Bacteria
Description: bacterial SSU rRNA
Rfam family: Bacterial small subunit ribosomal RNA
Source: RNAcentral